GGGGCCGACAGGAAUCGACCGGGCAGGGAAGGCCUGCCGUGGCGCGUCGUGGGGCGUGCUGGCCACGUAAAAAGCACGCAAACACAUAACUGCCAACGGCGGUUAUCGUCUCGCGGCCUAACUCGGCCGCAUGGUCCGCUCUCCACGCCCGAUAGGGGGCGGAUCACACGCAUCGGGCUGGUCGCCGCACCGACGCUCUCGGGGUGCGGCGGCGAGACUUUCCGCGAGCUGGGCCGACGGGGACGGUGCCGAUGCCGGACCCCAGGCCGAGACCAAACCAUCGGACACACGCGUAGAGGCGGCUGGCUGACUGUCACGGGACGGGGGUUCAAUUCCCCCCGGCUCCAUUG
Molecule: transfer-messenger RNA, 350 nt
Filed under: Leptolyngbya sp. 15MV
Lineage: Bacteria; Bacillati; Cyanobacteriota; Cyanophyceae; Leptolyngbyales; Leptolyngbyaceae
Rfam family: transfer-messenger RNA
About the family: Bacterial tmRNA, also known as 10Sa RNA or SsrA, is named for its dual tRNA and mRNA-like properties.
Source: RNAcentral